RNAcentral lists this ribosomal RNA (377 nucleotides) under uncultured eukaryote. RNAcentral describes it as "partial 18S ribosomal RNA". It matches the Rfam family "Eukaryotic small subunit ribosomal RNA", at positions 592 to 976 of the family's 1831-position model. The record is from RNAcentral.
CAACAGCGUAUAUUAAAGUUGUUGCAGUUAAAAAGCUCGUAGUUGGAUUUCGGGGCAGCCUGGCUGGUCCGCCGCAAGGCGAGUACUGGUCAGCCGCCCUUCCUCUCGAAAGCCCCGACUGCUCUUUAUUGCAGUGGUCGGGUAGUUCGGGACGUUUACUUUGAAAAAAUUAGAGUGUUCAAGGCAGGCCUACGCCUGAAUACAUUAGCAUGGAAUAAUGGAAGAGGACCUCGGUCCUAUUUUGUUGGUUUCCAGGACCGAAGUAAUGAUUAAGAGGGACAGUUGGGGGCAUUCGUAUUUAAUUGUCAGAGGUGAAAUUCUCGGAUUUAUGAAAGACGAACAACUGCGAAAGCAUUUGCCAAGGAUGUUUUCAUUAA